Molecule: long non-coding RNA, 1381 nt
Organism: Girardinichthys multiradiatus
Lineage: Eukaryota; Metazoa; Chordata; Actinopteri; Cyprinodontiformes; Goodeidae
Exons: 3
Source: RefSeq, a predicted model, not a curated record
GCCUCUAUUGAGUCAAACACAGCGCUGUUUGACUAGAAUUAGAACAUCAUAGAGAUAACAGCCAUGGACCUGUCCAGGCUGGAGCGGCGGCGCUAAUGUGAGGCAGAGUAGGAGAAGGAGAACCGCAGGUGAUGAUGGAGAGGAUUAUGAUGAGAUCCAACAUUCCUUGGAAGGGGAGCAGCACCCGUCAUAUUUCUUGAUGCCCAAGCAGCAUAGGGACUCCACGGUAGCCAACUGCUGAUCUGGCCGAUGGGUGGCUACCACUUCUGGAUUUUAGAUCAUAUCAAGCACACCACAAUGGCCCCCAAUCGUUCAGCUGGCUGCCUCCACAGCAGUUGGCCAAGAUCAUCGUCCUCCAUAAAAAAAAAAAGUCUAUUGUCUUUUCAACAUCACUGAAAGAUUUCCAAAUCUUGAUAAAAAUAGGAAGAACAAAUAAAUUGCAUCAAUUUGCAUAGAAACAAUAGAACAAGUGAUUUUCUCUCCAGGGAAAUCAUGUAUUCUUUAAACUAGGUGCAAGUUUGGAGAAGCCACUCUAAAGGUUGAACCAAGCGUCCAUCAUCAAUGCUAAGGUUGUAGCUGCAAAGGUCCCCUUUCAAUAGUCCCCUCUCUGACUAGCCAUUUGUUAAAUUCUUCGAUCAAAACCUCUGUUUUGGCCAACGUGAAAUCGCCUUUACCACUGUCUACUGUAUGUAGGAUACUGAUGGUUAGUAACUGCUCAACACAAUGCAACCUCUUUUAUACAAAACUUUCUCUUUAAGCAAAAUGAAUGUAGGAUGAAAAAACAGUGAAGCCUGGUGAGCCUUGAAUGGCUGAGCGAUGGGCAAGAUGACAACUCACUAGCUGUCAGCACUGAUCUGUGUUCGCAUAGUUUUCUGGCCCAACACAUUCAGCUGGCUGCCAGCCACAGCCUUGACAUAUAAAGACGUAGUGUAGACCCCGACCAGAGCUUUGGUUUUUCAAAAGCUAUGCUCUCAUGCACUAUUUACGGAUGCUUCCCACUAACUGACUUUAAUUGUCGGAGAAUGUUAUGCUUGCCACUAAAAGAGAGCAGAAAACCGUGUAAUAGGUCGCGGUUUAACGGACAGCUGCGGCUGUAAUUGAGUCACUUGUUUCAACUUGCCCUUCAAAUCUGCAAUUAUUCAGCUGAUGCGAUGCAGAUUUGGAGGCGAAUGGAAACCAUCAUACCUCAGAGGCCUGUUACAGCUCUAGUAUGGUGCACAGCUGGAUAGGGUUACACUCUAUCUCUCCUAUUUAAGCCCACUUUUCACUGCCUGGUUCAGAACAGUGUGUUAAUCAUGUAAGCAGAAAAAGGUCACGUACCUGCUGUUUAGUUCAAAUUUAGAUACACAAAACAGUAAAUGUGGUGUAAGACAGCUUUGAU